UGCCAGCCGCCGCGGUAAUACGGAGGGGGCGAACGUUAUUCGGAAUUAUUGGGCGUAAAGGGCGCGUAGGCGGCCAAAUCAGUCAGGCGUGAAAGCCCCGGGCUCAACCUGGGAGGUGCGUUUGAUACUGUUUGGCUCGAGACCGGAAGAGGAUGGCGGAAUACCCAGUGUAGAGGUGAAAUUCGUAGAUAUUGGGUGGAACACCAGUGGCGAAGGCGGCCAUCUGGUCCGGAUCUGACGCUGAGGCGCGAAAGCGUGGGGAGCAAACAGGAUUAGAUA
RNAcentral lists this ribosomal RNA (279 nucleotides) under uncultured bacterium. RNAcentral describes it as "partial 16S ribosomal RNA". It matches the Rfam family "Bacterial small subunit ribosomal RNA", at positions 506 to 784 of the family's 1533-position model. The record is from RNAcentral.